CCCUUAGAUGUCCUGGGCCGCACGCGCGUUACACUGAUGCAUUCAACGAGCUUAUAACCUUGGCCGAGAGGCCUGGGCAAUCUUGUUAACGUGCAUCGUGAUAGGGAUAGAUUAUUGAAAUUAUUAAUCUUGAACGAGGAAUUCCUAGUAAACGCAGAUCAUCAAUCUGCAUUGAUUACGUCCCUGCCCUUUGUACACACCGCCCGUCGCACCUACCGAUUGAAUGGUCCGGUGAAGCCUCGGGAUUGUGGUUAGUUUCCUUCAUUGGAAGUUAGCCGCGAGAACUUGUCUAAACCUUAUCAUUUAGAGGAAGGUGAAGUCGUAACA
RNAcentral lists this ribosomal RNA (327 nucleotides) under uncultured eukaryote. RNAcentral describes it as "partial 18S ribosomal RNA". It matches the Rfam family "Eukaryotic small subunit ribosomal RNA", at positions 1470 to 1796 of the family's 1831-position model. The record is from RNAcentral.